AAAUAAGAAGCGAUAAAUUGCAUUCAGUUUCGACCUGACCCUAGGUGAUACCACCCUUAUUUU
Molecule: transfer RNA, 63 nt
Filed under: Sinochlora szechwanensis
Lineage: Eukaryota; Metazoa; Arthropoda; Insecta; Orthoptera; Tettigoniidae
Description: tRNA-Arg
Source: RNAcentral